AUUACCAAGGUAGCACUUUAUCAUGAUAACCCAAAGUCCUCUGUCGCAUUAAAAGGCCCAUAUGUCUCUAUAAAAGCAAUGAAACUGAGAAAAAAAACGAUCUCUUUGCUGCCUAUAACCCUUCCAUUACAAAUAUCUUCCUAUUCCUGUUGUACAUAUUCUUUUGGAGAAGAACAUGCACCAACACAAAUGGAAGUGUUUGACUCUUCUGGAAACAAUCCAGAGCAUCCCUACCUGACGUCAGACGUCAACUUCCUCGAAACAUGAACAAAGCUAUCCAAGAACAUGAUGACCAUGACAUGAACACCGUGAAUUUUGACCUAACCAUUGAUGUACCCUUACUUGUUGAGGUGUCGUAGUCCCGUAUAAGCAUUGAAGAGUUCAUUUCACCUUGUGUGGAUCAGUCCCCUCCACAAGAUCCGAUCCAAAGUAUCAAAGCACGUCUGAUGGCCAUUGAGUAGUCGGCAGACAUGCUUGACGUUUGGACCACCCAAAUGAAGGCCCUCGUAGUAUAUAUCAAGAUGAUGCUGCCCACUUUAUGUAAGCCAGAGGAGACACCUCAAAUGAUACCUACUACUAGGGUUCAAGUCUAGGAUGAACCCAUGGACAAGAAAUCAAUGCAGCUGAUAAACCCUUUUGUGGUUUAUCUUGUGCUUAAUUUGGGGGUUUUUGUCAAUGUUUCUCGCACUUAUUCACAAGAAAUGCAUGGUUUUGUGUUCACUUCCUAAUAUUGCUCCAUGAUAGAAAACAUGCUUAUUUUGCCUUAGAAUUGCUAUAUUUUGAUCCUCUUUAUUGCCAUUCGAUGUCGUGACGUAUUUGUUGAGUGAUUUCAGAAUUAAUAGGGUAAGAAUGGCCUAGAAGAGAGAAGGAAAGCAUGCAUAAGAGGAAGGAACAUGAAGAUUUGGAUUUUGGAAACUGCAGCACCGACGCGCACGCAUGGAUGAGGAUAGCUGGAAGCGGCGUGAUGAGCGGAUAUUUUAUACGCUUUUUGGGGGUAUUUUCUGGCUGAAAUUGAGGGACCUGAGCAAAAAUCUGAUUCAGAGGCUGAAAAAGGACUGCAGAUGCUGUUGGAUUCUGACCUCCCUGCACUUGAAGUGGAUUUUCUGAAGCUACAGAACUCCAAAUGGCGCGCUCCCAAUUGCGUUAGAAAGUAGACAUCCAGGGAUUUCCAGAAAUAUAUAAUAUUCCACACUUUGAGUGAGUUUUGAUGACAUAAAAUGGUGUCAAAACGCAAGCUCUCUGCCCUUUUCUGGCGUCAAAAUGCCAGAACUGGCAUAAAAGUUGGAGUUAAAUGCUCAAACUGGCACCAAAGCUGUCGUUUAACUCCAGGAAUAGCCUAUGCACGUGAAAGCUCCAAUGCUCAGCCUAAGUACACACCAAGUGGGCCUUAGAAGUGGAUUUCUGCUCUACCUAUCUUAAUCUACUCAUUUUCUGUAAACCUAGGUUACUAGUUGAGUAUAAAAACUACUUUUAGAGAUUUAUUUUGUACCU
Molecule: long non-coding RNA, 1491 nt
Organism: Arachis duranensis
Lineage: Eukaryota; Viridiplantae; Streptophyta; Magnoliopsida; Fabales; Fabaceae
Exons: 5
Source: RefSeq, a predicted model, not a curated record